AUUGAACGCUGGCGGCAUGCUUUACACAUGCAAGUCGAACGGCAGCACGGGUGCUUGCACCUGGUGGCGAGUGGCGGACGGGUGAGUAAUACAUCGGAACGUGUCCUGAAGUGGGGGAUAACGCAUCGAAAGAUGUGCUAAUACCGCAUAUACUCUGAGGAGUAAAGUAGGGGAUCGAAAGACCUUAUGCUUUUGGAGCGGCCGAUGUCUGAUUAGCUAGUUGGUGGGGUAAUUGCCCACCAAGGCGACGAUCAGUAGUUGGUCUGAGAGGACGACCAGCCACACUGGGACUGAGACACGGCCCAGACUCCUACGGGAGGCAGCAGUGGGGAAUAUUGCGCAAUGGGCGAAAGCCUGACGCAGCCAUGCCGCGUGAGUGACGAAGGCCCUCGGGUCGUAAAGCUCUGUCGGGAGGGACGAAGGGUGGCGAACACUCUGACGGUACCUCGCAAGAAAGCACCGGCUAACUCCGUGCCAGCA
This 480-nucleotide ribosomal RNA is filed under the name uncultured bacterium. Its description in RNAcentral is "bacterial SSU rRNA". It matches the Rfam family "Bacterial small subunit ribosomal RNA", at positions 30 to 513 of the family's 1533-position model. The record is from RNAcentral.